UCAAGAUCUUGCGUGCCACGUUCUUUGUAUUUCCUCACCUGCCUCUUGAGCUGGAAGCUGUUAAUGCGUUCUAUUCAUCUUUACCGGGGGUGGAGUGGGUGUCCUGGAGAUGCCAAGGCUCUUUGCACAGAGCCACACCUGGCCCAGGAGUCAGAGAAGCUGAAGGAAGACUCAGGGAAAGGUGAAGCAGUUAGUGACACGGCCACUGCCUCCUGCCAAUGAAGAGACAGCAGAUGACCAACACAUGUCAGCUGUAAAACGACUGAUGGUUCUCUUCCACACUCCAAAGCUCCUGCAAGACUCUCCCGCGUGGCCCAUGCUAACUGAAAACACAUAGGAAGGAGAAUCCUUGGAAAUGAAAAUCAAUCUAACCAAACUGAGACAUUACAAAGCCCCCAUCCUUACUCUAUAGUUCAAUGGUUAUGCACAGAAGUCCUGGAAUCAGAUUUCACGGGUUGGAAUGGUGGCUGCUUUAUUCCAAACUGCGUAUCCAAAGACUGACAGGAUCUAAGGCACACACACUUCCGCCCAGUGUGUUUUCAGGCUGACAGGGCUGGAAACCUGAACCCCAGUCAGAGUAUGGCUUCUGACUCCACAGGUCAGUAUGCUACAAAUUGUGCCACGGAGACUGGGCCUAUUAUUGAUUGAUUAUCAAUAAGAUCUGGUCCAUUUCUAAAAGUUCAAUAAAUAUCAUCUACUAUUG
Tupaia belangeri chinensis (Chinese tree shrew) is the source of this 703-nucleotide long non-coding RNA. RefSeq lists it as uncharacterized. The transcript is spliced from 3 exons. Lineage: Eukaryota; Metazoa; Chordata; Mammalia; Scandentia; Tupaiidae. The record is from RefSeq and is a predicted model, not a curated record.